CUGCGAAUGGCUCAUUAUAUCAGUUAUAGUUUAUUUGAUGAAGAAUACUAAUUGGAUAACCGUAGUAAUUCUAGAGCUAAUACAUGUAUAAAGUCUUGUAGACUGCAUUUAUUAGAAUGAAAACCAUAGGUUUCGGCCUAUUCGUGAGUAAUAAUAACUAAUCAUAUCGUAUGCUUAAGUAACGAUGUGUCUUUCAAGUUUCUGCCCUAUCAGCUUUCGAUGGUAGUGUAUUGGACUACCAUG
This 243-nucleotide ribosomal RNA is filed under the name Blastocystis sp. RNAcentral describes it as "partial 18S ribosomal RNA". It matches the Rfam family "Eukaryotic small subunit ribosomal RNA", at positions 87 to 348 of the family's 1831-position model. Lineage: Eukaryota; Bigyra; Opalinata; Blastocystidae. The record is from RNAcentral.